GAUGAACGCUGGCGGCGUGCCUAAUACAUGCAAGUCGAGCGAACGGACGAGAAGCUUGCUUCUCUGAUGUUAGCGGCGGACGGGUGAGUAACACGUGGAUAACCUACCUAUAAGACUGGGAUAACUUCGGGAAACCGGAUCUAAUACCGGAUAAUAUUUUGAACCGCAUGGUUCAAAAGUGAAAGACGGUCUUGCGGUCACUUAUAGCUGGAUCUGCGCUGCAUUAGCUAGUUGGUAAGGUAACGGCUUUCCAAGGCAACGAUGCAUAGCCGACCUGAGAGGGUGAUCGGCCACACUGGAACUGAGACACGGUCCAGACUCCUACGGGAGGCAGCAGUAGGGAAUCUUCCGCAAUGGGCGAAAGCCUGACGGAGCAACGCCGCGUGAGUGAUGAAGGUCUUCGGAUCGUAAAACUCUGUUAUUAGGGAAGAACAUAUGUGUAAGUAACUGUGCACAUCUUGACGGUACCUAAUCAGAAAGCCACGGCUAACUACGUG
Molecule: ribosomal RNA, 497 nt
Filed under: uncultured bacterium
Lineage: Bacteria
Description: partial 16S ribosomal RNA
Rfam family: Bacterial small subunit ribosomal RNA
Source: RNAcentral